RNAcentral lists this small nuclear RNA (327 nucleotides) under Erinaceus europaeus (western European hedgehog). RNAcentral's name for it is "7SK RNA". It matches the Rfam family "7SK RNA". Rfam says of the family: 7SK was discovered as an abundant small nuclear RNA in the mid-70s but a possible function has only recently been suggested. Two independent studies have found that 7SK RNA binds the CDK9/cyclin T complex (known as elongation factor P-TEFb). P-TEFb activates transcription by phosphorylating the C-terminal domain of RNA polymerase II. The record is from Rfam by way of RNAcentral. Lineage: Eukaryota; Metazoa; Chordata; Mammalia; Eulipotyphla; Erinaceidae.
GGGUAUGAGGGCGAUCUGCCUGUGACAUCCAUCACCCCCUUGAUCGCCAGGGUUGAUGCGGUUGAUCUGGCUGGCUAGGCGGGUGUCCCCUUCCUCCCUCACUGCUCCAUGUGUGUCCCUUCUGAAGCUGCACAUGCUCGAUCUAAGAGGACAGCCUUCCCCGAACAGAGAUAGGCUGGUCUUCAGUCAAGGGUAUAGGAAUAGCGGCGCUCCCCUGCUAGAAUCUCCAGACUAGCUCUCAAGAAAAAUUAAUUUUCUACUCACAGGUGUAGUGUACUACUUAACAUACUAUUAACAUUUUCAAUCUAAAACAUCAUGUAAAAAUGU